UAAACUAUAAGAUAACAUUCAAAUUCAAAACCCUAAACAAACAUUCUACGUUAAACCCUAUGGAAGAAAGUGAAGAUGCAGUAGUGGAGAGUCAAAUUAUCAUGACUGAGCCUCAAGAUAAGGAUCAACAUCAAGAUGAUAAUGAAUCUACUCAAUAUAGUGGGGUUGAAUUGGAAAGCAGGGAAGAUUAUACAGAUCAAUUCACGCCAAGCGGGGUCUUUGAAAGUAAAGAUGCAGUUAUUGAGUGGGUUCGUGCUGUUGGAAGAAAGAACAAUAUAGUGAU
Long non-coding RNA from Rosa chinensis, 283 nucleotides. RefSeq lists it as uncharacterized. The transcript is spliced from 3 exons. Lineage: Eukaryota; Viridiplantae; Streptophyta; Magnoliopsida; Rosales; Rosaceae. The record is from RefSeq and is a predicted model, not a curated record.